This 30-nucleotide non-coding RNA is filed under the name Rattus norvegicus (Norway rat). Lineage: Eukaryota; Metazoa; Chordata; Mammalia; Rodentia; Muridae. The record is from RNAcentral.
UCCUUGGUAUCCUUAAUUCAAGGGCAAAGG